GGCAGGCACUGGGCCUCUAAGCUAAAUCCCCAGCCCCUUUGUUUCUCCUUGACUAACAUUUUGGAGGAAAUGGUUCUGAGGCCAGCCAGAAAUGACGCCAGUGCUGCUCUCUUCCUGCUGGCAGUGGCAUUCACCUGCCAUGGAGAGAGAGAAAGGCCAUGCAUGCCUGGCUGGCCCUGGAGGGCCACCGUGGAGAAGGGAGGAGCCGCAUUCCUCUCCCCAACGCUGUACCCUGUGAGCUCCCAAGCGCCCCAGAGGCUGUAUUCCCGUUUGCAUUCACACAGAAAACCAGGCACCCUGACGAAAACCUGCCUCACUGGCUCCUGCCAGCCGUCUGACUCAGCCUGCUGUUCCAGACAGUUUGUCCCAGUCUCCUCGCUCCUCUGCCAGACCCGCUCCCCGCUGGAUCCAAUUCCCAGGCCAUUUCUGGCUUCUUGUUCAGCCCCUAGUCUCUGGAGCUGGGGUUUCCAUCUGGUGCUCCCCCAUGCCCACCACCUCAGCUCCCUGCAAGGCUCCCGUCCUGGCUGGGGCCUGCACACGCCCUCUUCUAGGGUGGCCCGGUGAAGGACAGAAUACCCAGGUAUAUUUGCAUUUCACAUACUUGAGAUCUUCUUAUUUAUUAUAAGACUUACCCACGUUUAUCUGAAAUCCUACUUGAACUGGGCAUCCUGGGUUGUUUUUGCUAAAUCUGCAGCCUUUUUCUGACUUGGGUUUGCCUUGGGGACUGUACCAGCUCUGGCCAACUCCCAGGACAGCACUCCUCAGUCUGCAGCCACCCAAAUCCCAAAGGUGGGCAUCAUUUCAAGUGAGCCCCACCUCCCCCGUCUCCUUUCCUGUGUCGAGGAGAGCAGUCUGCCCUGUAUAUAUCGACUUCCGCUGUACCAAAGGGGAUGAGAGAAGCUACAUUCAGCCCAUGUGUGUGCUCUGUCAUCCCCAGGGCAGACGACCUCCAGCUCAGCCUGCAAUCAGCCAUGGCUUGCGCCCAGGUAACUGACGUGUUUCCUUUACAGAUAUGCAGGCCUCUAGGCAAACAGAGGCGUCUGAGGUGUCAGAGAGCAGCCUGCAAUUCCCAGGAUCCUUUUAAGAGCUGAGGCUUUCCAGACUGUUGUGUUACAGGUACUAAAGCAGGUUUUCAUCUCCAAGGCAGAGAUUCUCCCUGAGACUCGGAAUAGUCCGUCAGACCUUCGAAGACUGCAAAGUCCAGCAGAGGAGACAGCAUGGGCAUAAAAACCAGCAUUUGCUCUGAGGCACCCACUGGGAUGGCAGGUCACUCAUAUGACAGUCAGAAAACUGGGCGCUCGGCAAGGAUGCAGCUGGACGUACAUCCCCAGUCUUGCAGUGUGGAUUUGUGGGAGGCUGAACAGAGGCUGUGAUUAGGGUGAAUAAUCAUCAGGGCGCAGUCACAGCAGUGAUGUCACACCAGCUGUGGACCCGGAAGUCAAUCUGGCAAGAAGACUUCUGUACGCAUGUCUCAGCCGUGUAACGUUUCUCAAGUUUUACUUUUUAUUAAUACGUGUUUUUGUACAUAACAAUUGCAUGCAUAAAUGGGAGUUAGAACAUGGACAUAACACAUCUUAAUUCUGACUUCCCUUCUCCCCCCCUCCAUCUCUUGGUCCCAUUUGCAGAAGGUCACUGCUUAAUUUAUGCUUAGACUAGCACAUGAGACGCAGGCCGAAGGCCAGACAUGUAGCCACAGGUGAGAGGCAGAAGUUGUGCGUGUUAGAGCUGCAGCAGUGUUGUUGAUAGCCACAGGAGAGAUGCUCACACAACCCACCGUGGUGGGCCCGAACCGGGUGGUGUUUUUCCUAGCAGAGAGGAGAAAAGUGGAUCUGGGGAAGUCUGUGCAUGUUUGUAUGUGAUAGAUAAGGAAAGGGAGCAAAGAACUGGUUCAUCCUAUGGGUUUGGAAGUCUUGUUUUAAAAUCCUGCUUCUUAAGUUCUGCUUACAAAUGGAAAGGGAAGUUGCAAGGCCUGACCAAUAAAGGUAGAUGACGUCUUUAUUCA
Chinchilla lanigera (long-tailed chinchilla) is the source of this 2002-nucleotide long non-coding RNA. RefSeq lists it as uncharacterized. The record is from RefSeq and is a predicted model, not a curated record. The transcript is spliced from 2 exons. NCBI's taxonomy places the organism in Eukaryota, Metazoa, Chordata, Mammalia, Rodentia, Chinchillidae.